UUUGUCUUUGAACAUGUGACCUGUAAGGAAGGCUGCUGAACACAGUGGAUGCCCGCCACCCUACUCCUGGGCGCACUGACCAGCCCAGGAGUGCAGGAGCCUGUGUUCCGCCAGACUUCAAGUGGCCGCUGGGCUCAAAAGCAAUGGACUGACAGGUCAGGGACUGAAACCCCUGAAACUUGAGCCAAAAGAAGAAUCCCCACCGCUUUUUAAGUUGAUUUUCUCAGUACCUGGCAAUCCAAGAGGAAAGGGACUCAGGCCAGGAAGAAGAGCUUAUGCAAAGCUGUGGUCACAGGAGGUGGCAAGGAACUACAGGAGGUCCAGGUGACUGCACAGACAGCCCCGGUCUCCUGGCGUGCGCCCUGGGAGUUGUCACCGUCUGGAGCCCACGGGGUCGCCUGUCUGCAGCAGUGGUAACAUCACCUGGCUGAGGUCAGCUGCUCCCUGCCUUGUCCUCCUCAGCAUGUCUCCGACAGUGCCACGUGCAUGUCCGUACCCUGGCCCUCGCCUCCUGGCUGCCUUCACUUAGGAAACAAACGUCCAGUGCUGACCCCAUAGCCCCAGAAGCUGAGGAUUUUGAUGGACUCAGGUUAAGCUACUGUGGAAACACUGGCUCUAUCUGGGAUCUGGAGCGUCCCCAAAGGGCCAGGAGUCAAGGGCUUGGUUCCCAGCUCAGCGCGCUGGGAGGUGGAGGAGCUGCUGGGAGGCUUUAGGUCACAGGGGCUGUGCCCCUGAAGGAGACGGGGACACUGGCCUCCUCCUCUCUCUCCCAUUUCCUGACUUCCCUGCCAUGAACAACUUCUCCACCACAUGCCCCAUCAGGAGGCACGGCCUUGCCCCAGGCCCCCAACAACAGCUGACAGACCAUAAAUUAAACCUCCCACACUGUGAGCCAAAACAAACCUUCCCUCUUGCUAA
Molecule: long non-coding RNA, 918 nt
Organism: Marmota monax (woodchuck)
Lineage: Eukaryota; Metazoa; Chordata; Mammalia; Rodentia; Sciuridae
Exons: 3
Source: RefSeq, a predicted model, not a curated record